Molecule: ribosomal RNA, 479 nt
Filed under: uncultured bacterium
Lineage: Bacteria
Description: partial 16S ribosomal RNA
Rfam family: Bacterial small subunit ribosomal RNA
Source: RNAcentral
GAUGAACGCUAGCGGGAGGCCUAACACAUGCAAGCCGAGCGGUAUUGUUUCUUCGGAAAUGAGAGAGCGGCGUACGGGUGCGUAACACGUGUGCAACCUGCCUUUAUCCGGGGGAUAGCCUUUCGAAAGGAAGAUUAAUACUCCAUAAUAUAUUGAACGGCAUCGUUUAAUAUUGAAAGCUCCGGCGGAUAGAGAUGGGCACGCGCAAGAUUAGCUAGUUGGUGAGGUAACGGCUCACCAAGGCGAUGAUCUUUAGGGGGCCUGAGAGGGUGAUCCCCCACACUGGUACUGAGACACGGACCAGACUCCUACGGGAGGCAGCAGUGAGGAAUAUUGGUCAAUGGGUGCAAGCCUGAACCAGCCAUCCCGCGUGAAGGACGACUGCCCUAUGGGCUGUAAACUUCUUUUGUAUAGGGAUAAACCUACCCUCGUGAGGGUAGCUGAAGGUACUAUACGAAUAAGCACCGGCUAACUCCGUG